RNAcentral lists this ribosomal RNA (318 nucleotides) under uncultured eukaryote. RNAcentral's name for it is "partial 18S ribosomal RNA". It matches the Rfam family "Eukaryotic small subunit ribosomal RNA", at positions 1470 to 1796 of the family's 1831-position model. The record is from RNAcentral.
CCCUUAGAUGUCCUGGGCCGCACGCGUGCUACACUGACGCAUCCAGCGAGCACUUUCCAGUUCCGAGAGGCUACUGGUAAUCAUCAAUAUGCGUCGUGAUGGGGAUAGAUCUUUGGAAUUCUGGAUCUUGAACGAGGAAUGCCUAGUAAUCGCAGGUCAUUAGCCUGCGAUGAUUAAGUCCCUGCCCUUUGUACACACCGCCCGUCGCUACUACCGAUUUCGAGUGGUCAGGUGAAUCUUUCGGACUGUGGGCGCCCUUGAGGUGUUCGCGGAAAGUCAGGUAAAUCUUAUCACUUAGAGGAAGUAAAAGUCGUAACA